Molecule: ribosomal RNA, 460 nt
Filed under: uncultured bacterium
Lineage: Bacteria
Description: partial 16S ribosomal RNA
Rfam family: Bacterial small subunit ribosomal RNA
Source: RNAcentral
CCUACGGGAGGCAGCAGUGAGGAAUAUUGGUCAAUGGGCGCGAGCCUGAACCAGCCAAGUCGCGUGAGGGAUGAAGGUUCUAUGGAUCGUAAACCUCUUUUAUAAGGGAAUAAAGUGUGGGACGUGUCCUAUUUUGUAUGUACCUUAUGAAUAAGGCUCGGCUAACUCCGUGCCAGCAGCCGCGGUAAUACGGAGGAUCCGAGCGUUAUCCGUAUUUAUUGGGUGUAAAGGGUGCGUAGGCGGCCUUUUAUGUCAGCGGUGAAAGUCUGUGGCUCAACCAUAGAAUUGCCGUUGAAACUGGGAGGCUGGAGUAUGUGUGAGGCAGGCGGAAUGCGUGGUGUAGCGGUGAAAUGCUUAGAGAUCACGCAGAACCCCGAUUGCAAAGGCAGCCUGCCAAGCCAUGACUGACGCUGAUGCACGAAAGCGUGGGGAUCAAACAGGAUUAGAUACCCUAGUAGUC